UUCCUGCAGGUUGGUGCUUGAAUGAGGGGAGCCAGGACCCAGACUGAGUCACAGUCAUCCUUUCCCUUUGUCACACCACAAUUUGCCUAAUGCUGAUUCACUGAUCAUCAGCCCAUCCCUCAGGGACAACCUAGCCUUCAUCAGAUGGCCAGAGGUGGGAGCUGGUAAAGAGGAUGUGUCUCAUGCAGCUUGCAGCAAGGUCCUACCCCCUGGCAGUGUGGUGGCAGCACAUGGAUCAGCCAUAAGACAGAUUGGGUCUCUGCUCCUUGUCCUUCUGCUUGAGAUAUUGCCACGUGGAACUUGGAGCCAUUGUAGCCAUUUUGCUACCAAGAGGGAAGACAGGGGCAGCCCUGAAGAAGGCGGAAAGAGAUUAUGGACGUGCUCAUGCCCUCAGUGAUCUCUCGGAACCACCGUACCAAUCCUGGAAUCACCUCCCUCUGAUCUGCGGGUGCUUUGGACAAGAGUCUGAGAAGGGGAACCCUCGAGGAGAUGAUGGAGGAGAAGAGACAGGAGGUGGAGGCAAAGAAAUGAGAAAUAAAGGCCUGAGGAAGGGGCCCGGGGGCCUUC
Molecule: non-coding RNA, 567 nt
Organism: Ictidomys tridecemlineatus (thirteen-lined ground squirrel)
Lineage: Eukaryota; Metazoa; Chordata; Mammalia; Rodentia; Sciuridae
Source: RefSeq, a predicted model, not a curated record